UUUUUGUCUAGGAAGUGCAGGAUGUACACACUGCUGUGGUGCCUGGAUUCUGUGGCUGUGGUGGCUGAACCUGGUUGUGCCAGCAUGCUUUGUUUCACUCAGCACAGUAGAAUAUGUCAAGCGGUAAUUCUUGUGGAUGCCCCCUAAGCUACUUUGCUUCUACCUUGCUAUUAGAGGGCUAUGAGCACAGAGAUAAAUUUGCUGCUCCAGGUACUUUAGAGAGGUCUCUCAAUUCCUCUCUUCUGGCAUCAGAGAUGGAGCAUCCCCCGAGGAAAACCCUGAAAGUCCUGGGAACGCCGUGCACAGAGGCUGCCGUGACUGGAGGCCUUCUCCGCAGUGACAUAUAAAACUCUGAGGUCAGGGGGCACAGCGAGAGGAGGAAUCAGCUUUGUUUCCGCUAUGUGUUGCUGAAAGCUAAACCUUUAUGGAACUUUUCGAGCUGCAUUUUUGGCUAUUUAGCUUGGAAAACAAAAGAUUUAUUUAUUUUUUCCUAUUCAUCGCAGUUUUUGUCCUAAGCUGACAGCAGUGACAUAAGAAGGACCCUCCCUGCUCUGAGCUGGAGUUGUGCAUGCUCCAUCAACCAUCACUGCUUCAGAACAAAUAUUAUACGAUCUUUAAGGGAAAGGAGAAGAACAGAAAAAUGAUCGCUGAGGGCCAAUGUAAACACUCAUGACAUAAAUUCAUUCUUCCAAAUAAGAAAAGUAAAAAUCUCCCUGGCAAGUAAAAUACAUUGAUCAGAACAUAUACAGUACUAGAUGGUGUCCAGAAAUCCAGCUGUGUGUCUUCACAAUCCACUCAGCUUCAGAUCAAACCAGAGCAAUAUUCCCAAGGACACGGGGUGAUACAGCCGGAGGUUGGCUUGCCUCCUAGAUAACCCUGAGCAGUGCUGAAUAAUUCUUUGAACUCAAAGCAAUUUGCGACUGUGUUCAGAAAUAACACACAAACUUGCCAAAAUCCAGGAGUGUAUCAGCAACCAAAGUGUAUUUUUCCAGUGCCUGUAAUGAUAAGCUGAUGCAGAGUUCUGUUUUCUCUUUGGAGCAGAGCUAGCACUUGCGGUAUGCUAGAGGAUUUCCCAUGCCAAAGAUGCAAUUCAUGUCCUAAAGAGUGUGCAGUCAAGAAUAAUGUUUUAAAAUCUUUGUCCUUUAUCAAAGGAUCUGGAUAGACUUCAAAGAACAUUUUAAUCCCUAUCUUAAAGCUGGAAAAGCUCAGGCAAGGAGGAAUGACAUGGCUUCCCCAAGGUGAUCUGCUGAGUUGGUGUCAGAUAGGGAGGAAGAUCCUGUGUUUCCUGCCUGCUGCAUGGAUGCUGUGUCUCAUCGUGCUGGCAAGGUCAGUGCCACGUGCUGUGCAGACCAGACCGAUGUGCUGGUUGCAGACUUUAAGUGAGAGAUGCUGAAUACUGUUUACAAAUGUGGGACUUGUUGUGGGGCACAGGACAUAUUCAAGCUCAACAGCCCAAACAGUCUUGUGGUUGCUGCAAGUCAUUGCAAUUCUUCAACAUUUUAGAGUUUGAAGAGUACCACCACAUGAGAUCAGCAUCUUAGGUUAGGUGACUGCAGUGAUUUUGGUCCAGAGCCCUAAAACUAAAUGUAGAUCCAUAUCCUGGAAGUAAUUCUGUGAUACACAGCCAACUGUGCUUAAAGGAAAAGAGCUUCAGAUAGAACCUGUCCUUGUACUUGCAAGAUCUAGUAUGUGUAUUUCUGCAGCAAGGUCUCAAGUAAAAAUCUUGUUAGAUCACAGAAGGUUUAAUAGGUUUCAUCAAGCUGCAGCUGUCUUGUUCAGUGCUUCUCAGAGGAGAUGGCAGCAGUACAAUUUUUCCAGGACACAGGAAUGAGAAGCAGCUGUAGCUAAUAACUGCAGGUAUACACAUGUAUCUGUAAUUAGAGGUAGUUUACAGUUUCCUGGCUUUAAGUGCUUGCAACUGAUAUUUAUUCUUGCUUUUCACCCGUCUUUGGAGGAACUGGACUACUGCUGUCUGGUCCAGUUGGUGGUGAGCAAGAUGGAAAUAGCAUGAUCGAUUUUAAUGGAGUUUCUUAAAUGUGUACAAUGUGAAAAUACAACUAUUUGCUAAAAAUCAGGUUACUCAUUUCAAAUGGAAGUGUUUGGCUAUGAAUGUAUUUUGAAUACCGUGUUGCAUGAUGACAAACAACUCCAGAAGAGAUCAGAAUUACUGUACAUUUGAAAAAAAUUAUUCAAACUGUGUGGAAAGAAUGCAGCAAUUGUCUGUUCAGGCAGUUGUCCUCAGGGCAGCGUUUUGUGAAUAUGUAAAAUAGUUAUGUAUUAAAUGGGAGGCCCAAGU
Molecule: long non-coding RNA, 2296 nt
Filed under: Gallus gallus (chicken)
Lineage: Eukaryota; Metazoa; Chordata; Aves; Galliformes; Phasianidae
Description: lncRNA (ENSGALG00010026288.1)
Source: RNAcentral